RNAcentral lists this small nucleolar RNA (100 nucleotides) under Ricinus communis (castor bean). Its description in RNAcentral is "Small nucleolar RNA R30/Z108". It matches the Rfam family "Small nucleolar RNA R30/Z108". From Rfam's summary of the family: snoR30 is a C/D box small nucleolar RNA which acts as a methylation guide for 18S ribosomal RNA in plants. Lineage: Eukaryota; Viridiplantae; Streptophyta; Magnoliopsida; Malpighiales; Euphorbiaceae. The record is from Rfam by way of RNAcentral.
UGAGAUUACAAUGAGGAUUUUCAGCUCCCUCUUCUGAUUUAAGGUUGAGGAAAUUAGCUGGCAGAAUCGAACCUAUAAUUUUUUAGCCACUACUGAGUAA